Molecule: ribosomal RNA, 430 nt
Filed under: Pseudomonadota bacterium
Lineage: Bacteria; Pseudomonadati; Pseudomonadota
Description: Proteobacteria bacterium partial 16S ribosomal RNA
Rfam family: Bacterial small subunit ribosomal RNA
Source: RNAcentral
UGGGGAAUAUUGGACAAUGGGGGGAACCCUGAUCCAGCCAUGCCGCGUGUGUGAAGAAGGCCUUAUGGUUGUAAAGCACUUUAAGCGAGGAGGAGGGUACUGGUAUUAAUACUACCAGGUACUGGACGUUACUCGCAGAAUAAGCACCGGCUAACUCUGUGCCAGCAGCCGCGGUAAUACAGAGGGUGCAAGCGUUAAUCGGAAUUACUGGGCGUAAAGCGUGCGUAGGCGGCUAAUUGAGUCGGAUGUGAAAUCCCCGAGCUUAACUUGGGAAUUGCAUUCGAUACUGGUUAGCUAGAGUGUGGGAGAGGAUGGUAGAAUUCCAGGUGUAGCGGUGAAAUGCGUAGAGAUCUGGAGGAAUACCGAUGGCGAAGGCAGCCAUCUGGCCUAACACUGACGCUGAGGUACGAAAGCAUGGGGAGCAAACAGG